Molecule: ribosomal RNA, 255 nt
Filed under: uncultured bacterium
Lineage: Bacteria
Description: partial 16S ribosomal RNA
Rfam family: Bacterial small subunit ribosomal RNA
Source: RNAcentral
UACGGGGGGGAGCAAGCGUUGUUCGGAUUUACUGGGCGUAAAGGGCGCGUAGGCGGCCACCGCAAGUCGACUGUGAAAUCUCCGGGCUUAACCCGGAAAGGUCAGCCGAUACUGCGGGGCUAGAGUGCAGAAGGGGCAAUCGGAAUUCUUGGUGUAGCGGUGAAAUGCGUAGAUAUCAAGAGGAACACCUGAGGUGAAGACGGGUUGCUGGGCUGACACUGACGCUGAGGCGCGAAAGCUAGGGUAGCAAACGGG